This 450-nucleotide ribosomal RNA is filed under the name uncultured Dietzia sp. RNAcentral's name for it is "bacterial SSU rRNA". It matches the Rfam family "Bacterial small subunit ribosomal RNA", at positions 931 to 1382 of the family's 1533-position model. The record is from RNAcentral. Lineage: Bacteria; Bacillati; Actinomycetota; Actinomycetes; Mycobacteriales; Dietziaceae.
CGCGGAGCAUGUGGAUUAAUUCGAUGCAACGCGAGAACUUACCUAGGCUUUGACAUAUACAGGACGACGGCAGAGAUGUCGUUUCCCUUGUGGCUUGUAUACAGGUGGUGCAUGGUUGUCGUCAGCUCGUGUCGUGAGAUGUUGGGUUAAGUCCCGCAACGAGCGCAACCCCUGUCUCAUGUUGCCAGCACGUAAUGGUGGGGACUCGUGAGAGACUGCCGGGGUCAACUCGGAGGAAGGUGGGGAUGACGUCAAAUCAUCAUGCCCCUUAUGUCUAGGGCUUCACACAUGCUACAAUGGCUAGUACAGAGGGCUGCGAUACCGCGAGGUGGAGCGAAUCCCUUAAAGCUGGUCUCAGUUCGGAUUGGGGUCUGCAACUCGACCCCAUGAAGUCGGAGUCGCUAGUAAUCGCAGAUCAGCAACGCUGCGGUGAAUACGUUCCCGGGCCUU